UUCUAAUCUCCCCAUCUGACCAUUCGCUUUCCCCUUUCUCUCGUUCUCCGUCAGGAGCGUGGUCUCCGCCAGGGGUGCCACAGCUCUCAGACAGAUGCGCAGGGUUUCAUGCAGUAAAAAAUCUAUUAUUUUACUGGGAAGGUAGAUAGGUAGAGUGAUUAGUAGGAGGUCACGGCAAGGGCGCGGCCGCGACGGCGGCGCUCAUUGGGAGGCACCCCUGAUUACUUGAGUGUUGGAACUCCCAGCACUCGAUUUUUCCUUUUUCGUUGAAUAGUGUGUUUUGUAUGCUAGCAUCACCCAAGUGUUGAGGUCUCCAGAAUUACUCGAGUUUUGUAUAGACAAAUCCAAGGUCCUCUCAUCUGUCUGAAGCAUGGAGUCAAGCUUUUCCCUUUGUUUCACUUCUUCUUGGAGGGCGACGCACACAGUUUUGAAGCUUAGGAGAGAUGUUCUGAUCACUCGUGACAGUAUUUGCUACCUGCGUAUCAAAGAUGGCCCUCAGGAUUGUCUGGUUCUACCUUAGUCUGCUACUGAAGAAAACAACAGGAGGUGGAUGACCACAACUCGUGCUUUGGAGGGGUAUUGUGGCCACAAUAGUAUGCCGUUUUUCAGGAUUGCUGUUGACCUAGGAUGCAGGUUUGGAUUCAUCCUUUGUCCAGAUAACAGACUGCAGAUAUAUGAUGAACUCUAAUAUAUGAUGAACUCUGAACCAUAUUAGUAUGGAGUUAUCUAGAUGCAGCUUCCGGCUUUCUUUUAUUUUGUGUAAUAUGCAAUCAGCACAUGCUACAUCCAUAUGUCUGGAAUGCUGAAUAUAUGUGAAUAACUUGCAAUAUUGUAAUAUUAAUGGUGGUU
Long non-coding RNA from Panicum virgatum (switchgrass), 849 nucleotides. RefSeq lists it as uncharacterized. The record is from RefSeq and is a predicted model, not a curated record. Lineage: Eukaryota; Viridiplantae; Streptophyta; Magnoliopsida; Poales; Poaceae. The transcript is spliced from 4 exons.